CGGGAUCAUCAGUGAAAAUAGUUGUGGUGCCAGAGGCUGCUUUUAUUGGAAAAAAGAAGAGCAGAAUUCCCUGCUUUCAGAGUAGAAUCCACCAAUUGGAGCUUAUUUCUGUCUGUCCAGCUGCUAUAAAAGCCUGUUCUGUGCUAAGAAGAUCAGCCGUUUACAUCAGAAAAAUGGAAAGUGGGGAAAAAGAGGUCAGGAAUAUCCACGAUGUGUAACAACACUUGGAGGUGGAGGAGGAGGAUGAGCAAAAUGUGUUUGAUGAGGAGGAGCAAGACAGAUCAGGGAAUGACAUUUUCAUAGAUCAGGAUGACAAUCAACCAGUUGCAAGAGAGAGUACAGUCUUGCUGCAUUGGCGUGCCCUGCGUUGCCAACAGGAUGAAGAGUAUCAAUGUUAUCUGCUAAUAGACAGAGAAAGGGUAAGAAACUUCAGACAUUUAUAUAACCAACUUGCACUCUUAACUUACACUCUUCUAAAUAUGCAAAAUGAAGUUUGGACAGCGAGAAUCCCUUCUUGUUCAGGGAGAUUGGAUUGAGCUGUUGAAUAGCACUUAAACUUAAGUUUCAUUUUACAUUAGGAGAGAAGGUAAAGGCAACUCCAGGAGUGUGAACUAAAAAAAAAUACAUGAAAGUUUGUUAAGUAAUAGUUAUUGCCCUAUAAAAACUAAAACCCUAAAUCAAUCACUUACAUUUACAAUCAUUAGUGUUUAGUAAUACAUACAAGAAAUGAAUUGAUUGAUUCCAUACCACAGCCUGAAAAUGGGUUGGUCAUUCAGUUUAAAUAUCCUGAUGGUGGCUUAAAAAGGAGCUUCCUGCCCAGUGAGCUAUUUCAGGUAUUUCCAUGUUUCCCUUAUUAUACUUCUCUUCAGAGUUCACAGCUGUUUGCAUGUUUAUAAGUAAUAAAUGUAGAUACUUUUUUGCA
Molecule: long non-coding RNA, 922 nt
Filed under: Astyanax mexicanus (Mexican tetra)
Lineage: Eukaryota; Metazoa; Chordata; Actinopteri; Characiformes; Acestrorhamphidae
Description: lncRNA (ENSAMXG00005023156.1)
Source: RNAcentral